CUGGGGGGGUGAGGCGAUCGCCGGCGUAACAACGCGGGAGGAAAGUCCGAACUCCAUAGGGCAGGAUGCCGGGUAACUCCCGGUGGGGGUAACCCCAAGGAAAGUGCCACAGAAAAUAUACCGCCUCCCGAAAGGGGGGUAAGGGUGAAAUGGCGAGGUAAGAGCUCACCGGUUCUCGUGGUAACACGUGAGCCUGGUAAACCCCAUCCGGAGCAAGACCAAAUAGGGAAGCGUUAAGGAUGGCCCGUCCGAUGCUUCCGGGUAGGUCGCUCGAGACGGCGGGAGACCGUCGUCCUAGACGAAUGAUCGCCACCCGAUUUGUCGGGAACAGAAUUCGGCUUACCGCCCCCCCGGACUC
Molecule: RNase P RNA, 358 nt
Filed under: Desulfomonile tiedjei
Lineage: Bacteria; Pseudomonadati; Thermodesulfobacteriota; Desulfomonilia; Desulfomonilales; Desulfomonilaceae
Description: RNase P RNA component class A
Rfam family: Bacterial RNase P class A
About the family: Ribonuclease P (RNase P) is a ubiquitous endoribonuclease, found in archaea, bacteria and eukarya as well as chloroplasts and mitochondria. Its best characterised activity is the generation of mature 5'-ends of tRNAs by cleaving the 5'-leader elements of precursor-tRNAs.
Source: RNAcentral